AGAGUUUGAUCCUGGCUCAGAACGAACGCUGGCGGCGUGGAUAAGACAUGCAAGUCGAGCGCUGAUCAAAGUGUAGCAAUACAUUUUGGUCGGAGCGGCGCAAGGGUGCGUAACACGUAGGUAAUUUGCCAUAAAGUUGGGGAUAACUCGCUGAAAGGCGAGCUAAUACCGAAUGUGGCCCGGAGAAGGCAUCUUUUCUUGGCUAAAGUUGGGGAUCGUAAGACCUGACGCUUUAUGAUAAACCUGCGGCCUAUCAGCUAGUUGGCGGGGUAACGGCCCACCAAGGCGAUGACGGGUAGCUGGUCUGAGAGGACGACCAGCCACACUGGAACUGAGACACGGUCCAGACACCUACGGGUGGCAGCAGUCGAGAAUUUUUCACAAUGGGGGAAACCCUGAUGGAGCGACGCCGCGUGGGGGAUGAAUGGCUUCGGCCCGUAAACCCCUGUCAUUUGCGAAUAAACCUUAUUAUUUAAAAGAUGAUGAGUUGACAGUAGCGAAAGAGGAAGGGACGGCUAACUCUGUGCCAGCAGCCGCGGUAAUACAGAGGUCCCAAGCGUUGUUCGGAUUCACUGGGCGUAAAGGGUGCGUAGGUGGUCGGGUAAGUCUGAUGUGAAAUCUCGGAGCUCAACUCCGAAACUGCAUUGGAUACUAUCCGGCUGGAGGGUCGGAGGGGGGACUGGAAUUCUCGGUGUAGCAGUGAAAUGCGUAGAUAUCGAGAGGAACACCAGUGGCGAAGGCGAGUCCCUGGACGACUCCUGACACUGAGGCACGAAAGCUAGGGGAGCAAACAGGAUUAGAUACCCUAGUAGUCC
RNAcentral lists this ribosomal RNA (815 nucleotides) under uncultured bacterium. RNAcentral describes it as "bacterial SSU rRNA". It matches the Rfam family "Bacterial small subunit ribosomal RNA", at positions 8 to 796 of the family's 1533-position model. The record is from RNAcentral.